RNAcentral lists this ribosomal RNA (245 nucleotides) under uncultured bacterium. RNAcentral's name for it is "partial 16S ribosomal RNA". It matches the Rfam family "Bacterial small subunit ribosomal RNA", at positions 791 to 1035 of the family's 1533-position model. The record is from RNAcentral.
UAGUCCACGCCGUAAACGUUGGGCGCUAGGUGUGGGGGCCAUUCCACGGUCUCCGUGCCGCAGCUAACGCAUUAAGCGCCCCGCCUGGGGAGUACGGCCGCAAGGCUAAAACUCAAAGGAAUUGACGGGGGCCCGCACAAGCGGCGGAGCAUGUUGCUUAAUUCGAUGCAACGCGAAGAACCUUACCUAGGCUUGACAUGCACGGAAAUCUCGCAGAGAUGCGGGGUGCCUUUGGCGUCGUGCAC